CCUACGGGUGGCAGCAGUGAGGAAUAUUGGUCAAUGGACGAGAGUCUGAACCAGCCAAGUAGCGUGAAGGAUGAUUGCCCUAUGGGUUGUAAACUUCUUUUAUAGGGGAAUAAAAUGUUCCACGUGUGGGAUUUUGUAUGUACCUUAUGAUUAAGGAUCGGCUAACUCCGUGCCAGCAGCCGCGGUAAUACGGAGGUUCCGGGCAUUAUCCGGAUUUAUUGGGUUUAAAGGGGGCGCAGGUGGGUUGUUAAGUCAGUUGUGAAAGUUUGCGGCUCAACCGUGAAAUUGCAGUUGAAACUGGCAGGCUUGAGUGCGGUAGAGGUGGGCGGAAUGCGUGGUGUAGCGGUGAAAUGCUUAGAUAUCACGAAGAACUCCGAUUGCGAAGGCAGUUCACUGGACUGCAACUGACACUGAGGCUCGAAAGUGUGGGUAUCAAACAGGAUUAGAUACCCGGGUAGUC
This 460-nucleotide ribosomal RNA is filed under the name uncultured bacterium. Its description in RNAcentral is "partial 16S ribosomal RNA". It matches the Rfam family "Bacterial small subunit ribosomal RNA", at positions 338 to 795 of the family's 1533-position model. The record is from RNAcentral.